This 497-nucleotide ribosomal RNA is filed under the name uncultured bacterium. RNAcentral describes it as "partial 16S ribosomal RNA". It matches the Rfam family "Bacterial small subunit ribosomal RNA", at positions 28 to 507 of the family's 1533-position model. The record is from RNAcentral.
GACGAACGCUGGCGGCGUGCCUAAUACAUGCAAGUAGAACGCUGAAGCUUGGUGCUUGCACCGAGCGGAUGAGUUGCGAACGGGUGAGUAACGCGUAGGUAACCUGCCUGGUAGCGGGGGAUAACUAUUGGAAACGAUAGCUAAUACCGCAUAACAGUAGAUAUCGCAUGAUAGCUACUUGAAAGGUGCAAAUGCACCACUACCAGAUGGACCUGCGUUGUAUUAGCUAGUUGGUGAGGUAACGGCUCACCAAGGCAACGAUACAUAGCCGACCUGAGAGGGUGAUCGGCCACACUGGGACUGAGACACGGCCCAGACUCCUACGGGAGGCAGCAGUAGGGAAUCUUCGGCAAUAGACGGAAGUCUGACCGAGCAACGCCGCGUGAGUGAAGAAGGGUUUCGGAUCGUAAAGCUCGGUUGUAAGAGAAGAACGAGUGUGAGAGUGGAAAGUUCACACUGUGACGGUAUCUUACCAGAAAGGGACGGCUAACUACGUG